Molecule: long non-coding RNA, 4503 nt
Organism: Alligator mississippiensis (American alligator)
Lineage: Eukaryota; Metazoa; Chordata; Crocodylia; Alligatoridae
Exons: 2
Source: RefSeq, a predicted model, not a curated record
GGCCCCUCUGCCCUGGGCCGCAUUCAGCACCCGGGGAGAGGGGAAGAGGGUCGGGCUGGGCGGAGGCAAGCGCAGCUGCUCCCCGGGGGAUUCGGGGCAAGUCCCUUCCCCUCCCCGCGGUGUCCUCACGAGGAUGGGACCAUCCUUCCCUCCCCUCCCAAAGACUGCGAGGCAGCCCGGAGACCUGGAGGAGCCACGUGAAGGGUGAUCACUAAGGCACCACCCAAGGGGUCAAACUGCACCAGGCUGGGAUGGGACAGGGCUCACUGCUAGGAGAAGAGAUGGCUGUGGAAAAUGAGGACCAAAGACUAAAUGAAUCACGCUCCUUUCGUCUCUUGGCAGCUGCGCUCAGUGGUAGUUGCCCCGUUCUCUCCACCUGAGGUGGUGAAGGGUGACCAUGCAGGAUUUGUCCUUGGGCUGCUACAUUGUGCUGAGAAGCCCACCUGGCUGAUGACAAUGGCCCGUGGGAGGAGUCCCCUAGUCAGUGGAGUCAUGUGUGGAAUUAGUGCAAACCAGCAGAGCUCAGUGACAAUGACAGAAGUCUAUGUGGAUCCCACCAGCAUAGUCCCCAUGAGGGGACUGAUGGGUAUAUCGCAUCUGAAACCCUACAGACUGGACCCCGCUGCCAGAAUGAAUUGAUUUCUCAGUCAACAUCAACUGCAUCUUUGCCACAGACAUCUCAUACAUAUUCGAGAUGCAGGGGACACUCUAUGCUUUGCAGGUAGAUCCAAACUAAACAGCAACCUUGAUUCCUUACCAGGGAUCUACGUUGUUUUUUGUUUAGCGGCUGCCGGAGUUGGGGAAGCAAAUCGUGUUAUUUUGGGAGACCGAGUCAAUGGCAGAUCACGGUGUUAACCACCUUGCUGCACUUAGGACUAAUUUCACUGACAGCAGUAAAACACUAGUAGGCAUUCAGAUGAGAUAACACUCAAAUCUGAAAACAGUAAACAGAUUUGUUGGCUUUGCAUAGCUCCCUGGGUGCAUAUAUGCCUGUAUGUCUUUGUAUGAGGUGCAUGUUCACAAUGAGUCUGGAGGGGAAGGUAGGUGAUAAGCCCAGCACAAGAGCUGCUGAAAGUAGUACAGGUCUGUCUUCUAGCAAGGAUCUGAUCUAAUGUGAUCCACUCUUCCCUCUAAUAUUCUUAAGUGUCUCAGAGAAAGGAGGACAGCAACAGAUAUUGCCAGUGUAUUGUGAGGAUUAUAAAGGGCUUUGGAAGAAAGGCAUUACACAACUAAGGAAAGAAAGGUUGGAAGGGACAUUGAGAGGUCACCUUGUGUCCCAAGCCAGACUCCACUAGACCUAAACUGUUCCUGUCCUGUGGUUGUCUUAUCUGCUCUUAAUCUUCUAUGAUGGAGAUUGCACCAGGACCUGAGAAAAUCCAUUCCAGCGCUUAACUAUUCUGUUAGGGAGUUUUUCCUACUGACUAACCUAAAUCUCCCUGGCUGCAGUUUAAGUUGAUUGCUACUUAUCCUAUCCUCAGUGCACACCAAGAAGAGUUUAUAACCUUCCUUUUGGCAGUAACCUUUCACAUACUUCAAGACUGUUUGCAUGUUGGCCCUCAAACUUCUUUUCUCUAGACUAAACAAACCCAAUCCUUUCCAUCUUUCCUCACGGGUCAUACGCUCUAGACCUCUGAGUAUUUCCACCCCCCAGCCCCCCUUCCUCUGGAUUCUUUCCAAUUGGUCCAUAUCUUUCUUGCAGUGUGGUGCCCAAAACUGGGCACAGUACUCCAGCUGGGGCUCCCCUGAGUGGAGGGAUUACUUCAGGUCUUACAUGCAACACUCCUGCUGGUGUAUCGCAGUAUGAUGAUGUUUGCCUUUUUUGCCACAGUAUGGAUGGCAUUGUUGAUCUAUGUCUAAUUUAUGUUCCAUUCUGACUAUCCAGAUCCUUUGCUUCAGGACAGCUGCCUCGCCAGUCAUUCCACACCUUGUGUUUGUGCAGUUGAUUAUUCAUGCCUCAGUGUGGGACUUUGCACUUGUCCAUACUGAACUGAAUCUUCUUUAUUUCAGCCCAUUGUUCUGAAGUGUCAGGAUCAGUUUGAAUUCCGGUCCUGCCCUCUGCAGUGCCUGCAUUUUGACUGAAGUUCCUAAUUCUUGUAAAAUUUCUUCUUGAGAUUCAGGUGCCAAGGUGAAAAGUGAGCAUCCCAGGACUCAGAAUACUGCUCACUUCCGAUCAUCAUUAGCUAGGGCUGUUUCACUCUGUGUUCCCAGACCCUUCUGACAGAUUUUGAUCUGUACGAUUUAAGGAGUCAAAUCCUGCCCCUCAGGGGCUCUGGAAAACAGAACUUUCUCAUCUCACAGUACUUGUCUUGGUGUAAUUGCUCAGAUGUUUUGCUACCACAGCUAUAGUGCAUGAGCCAAAGGCCUCUGCACGCUCCCUGUUCAGGUGGUAGGCUUGUAGAUGCAUGUAGUGGCAGGUCCAGGGGCCACACCAGUAUGCUUCAAAUCCCUUCCUUCUGGGCUAGGACGGCUUAGGCCAGGUUCUCAGCCCUGCAGCAGAAAAGUGGAACUUUGCUGUACAGAAUAUUCACUAGCUUGCUGUAUUUGAACCCAUGGGGCAAGUGGGCCAGAGGCAGGGGUAGAACGGUCUCUGCAUCUCCAGCAAUUACAGUGGAAACAUCAGAGUUUGCUUAGCAGGGGGGAAGCUGGCAGCUGCUCUGCCCCAUCACACACUGAGUCAUGUUUAAUAUGUGUCUACUCCCAUGCCACUGCAGAAACCCUCUGAGCAACAAAGCACUCAUCCUAGAGUCAAGAACUCAUCAUGGAGGAACAAUGAUAGACAUGAAGAUGAGAACCCCAUCUACCCAUCCCACGCCUGCUCCAGCUGUGUACAUGAAUGAAAAAAUCCAAUGUUGUUCAUUUUGAAUGAAAAAUGUUAGUCUAAUCCAUUCAAACUCACCUGAUCAAUGUGCCAAGAAUGCCCUGCUUCCAAAAACACAUUCCCCAUAGGGAGAUAGCAAAAAGAUAAUUUAAAGGUAUACAUUAGAACUUGCUAAAUUCACCAAGAAUUUACCCCAGGAUCUUAUGCCUAAAUCCUAGCCCAGCUGAACUGAAUAGAAAAACUCCCGGUUUUUCCAGUGGGAUCGUGUCUGUCUCUCAGUCCAUAAAUAACACCAAUUAAAUUAGAAACUGCUUAUAAGUUUGCUAUUCUUUUCCUUGCCAGGUCCACUCACUUUUUCCUCUACAGAAGUAACACAAGGACAGAUUAAAGAAAAUAAAUUUCCUCUUUCAUCAAAUAAAUUCCUUCUGGAGCAAACAAAGCUGUGAGCUCUUAACUGAUGUCCCAUCAUGAUCUAGCAGUUUGCUCUGGCUGGAAGAGACUGCUUUGGAAAGCCCUAGCCCAUUUCCUGUUGUACACACUGCAGAGUGUAUCCUCAUCUCAAUCCUGGAAAUGCUUUGAUGGGUAUUAUUAGGCACGGGAAGCAUUUGGAACUCUCCCCUUCCGUAGGCUCUGACCAAAUUGUUACGGGAUGAAAGAGGGGCAAAUUGAAAGGGUCUGUGCAUACUGCAACAGGCUUUUGCUUUGAGGACCCCAUGUUGCGCCUGCUGCAUGCAUUUAGGGAACAUAUAAAACAGCCUGCCCAGCUUCUUCGCUAAUACAUGGAGCUUAUGGGCUUUUGGAAGAGUGGGGAGGAGGUUUCCAUCUUUUCAGUCUCAGGAGAGUAGGCUGUCAUGAGAGCGUAGUUUCCGGAGCCCCUUCUUUCUUUUCUUCAUGGUUGUUGCUGUGACUUGGUCUAUGUCACAUGCUGGAUGUUGGCUCAUGGUUUCUCCCAUAUAGAGAUGGGACGGCUGCACAUGUAAAGUGAAACUUGCUGUUCCUCAUAAUAGUUCUAUUCGGCUGUGGGGGUAGGGGGGGGCGGGCAUGCUUUGAUACUAGGAGGAAAAUUAAAACAUGGCACAAUGUGGUUUUCAUUGGCCACUCACAGCAUUUUUCCCUUUUAACUGAGAAGGAGUCUGAGAGGCUGCCUCCUAUAGAUAUUACCUCUUUAAAAAGAGAGGUUCAGGUUCCUGGCAUUUGAAUGUUAAUCAGCAAUUUAAUCUCCAAAGAUCUACAAAUAACAGACAUGAAGUAACUGAUCCUCUCAACAAAGGUGUUGAACUAUUGGGGUCUGUGCUCUCAUGCCUGUUUUCUCAAUGAGGAAUCUAGGGCUGAAAGGCUGAGCAGGUUACUGAAUUAGGAUCAGGGGAUUCUGGUUCCCCAUUCUAAGUAGUAGGUGAUACCUGUCUCCUCUAAACCCCUAUUUUCUCUGUCAAACUGCAGUAGGUUCUUCACUGGAUGGCCCAAAUAGUUUUUAAAAUGGAUGCAGUUUCACCUGGGUAAAAUCAAUGCCACUGAGAGAUGAAUUAGGGUUCACAUCUGUCGAAAGUGCAACACAGUCAUUUCCAAACCACAGCGCAAGCUUCAUAGCAGAAGGCUGCAUGGGAUGGCAAAGAAGAGAGUGGCCUGAUUGGCUGAAGGCAACAUGAUGAUUGUAGAGUAUGGAAUAAAAUCUUCUAAAAUUAUUG